Molecule: long non-coding RNA, 209 nt
Filed under: Salvia miltiorrhiza (redroot sage)
Lineage: Eukaryota; Viridiplantae; Streptophyta; Magnoliopsida; Lamiales; Lamiaceae
Description: long non-coding RNA (SMIL_LNC009616)
Source: RNAcentral
CAAUCCAUGUCCCUCAAGAUUUCAACAUUCCCACAAAGUGUCCAAGGUUAACGCUUAAACAUGCAACAACAAGAUAAUACAAUUUAAUCCGAUCAGACCCAGUUCUCCGCUAGGAGCGAGCUUCCUAAUGUAAUCGCCUUUACAAUCAAAUCACAUUCAUUCUCUUCGCUUCUCUUUUUUUUUUUUUUUUUUUUUUUUUUUUUUUUUUU